Non-coding RNA from Podarcis lilfordi (Lilford's wall lizard), 69 nucleotides. The record is from the annotation of a GenBank genome assembly. Lineage: Eukaryota; Metazoa; Chordata; Lepidosauria; Squamata; Lacertidae.
GCCAUAGCUCAGUGGUAGAGCAUCUGCUUUGCAUGCAGAAGGUCCCAGGUUCAAUCCCUGGUAUCUCCA